RNAcentral lists this microRNA precursor (79 nucleotides) under Haemonchus placei. RNAcentral's name for it is "mir-5928 microRNA precursor family". It matches the Rfam family "mir-5928 microRNA precursor family". The record is from Rfam by way of RNAcentral. Lineage: Eukaryota; Metazoa; Nematoda; Chromadorea; Rhabditida; Trichostrongylidae.
GGCCCAAAUUUAAAUUAGAGUAGAUUAGUAUAGUCAGUCACGUGGUCCUACUAAUCUACUCUACUUCGAAUUUGGGCCA